This 133-nucleotide small RNA is filed under the name Intestinirhabdus alba. RNAcentral's name for it is "RtT sRNA". It matches the Rfam family "RtT RNA". Rfam says of the family: This family represents a bacterial cis-regulatory element known as RtT RNA. The exact function of RtT is unknown although it is thought that it may be involved in changing the cellular response in relation to amino acid starvation. The record is from RNAcentral. Lineage: Bacteria; Pseudomonadati; Pseudomonadota; Gammaproteobacteria; Enterobacterales; Enterobacteriaceae.
UUGCAUCCGGCGUUCGGGAGGAUGAGAAGCUCCGGGGGAGGAGGUUCGACCCGAGCGCCGCGAGGGAACGUUGCGCCAGCAACGGCCCGCAGGGCGAGCCGCGCAGCGGUGAGUCAUCCUCUGGCACCGACCA